This 440-nucleotide ribosomal RNA is filed under the name Rhantaticus congestus. RNAcentral describes it as "partial 16S ribosomal RNA". The record is from RNAcentral. Lineage: Eukaryota; Metazoa; Arthropoda; Insecta; Coleoptera; Dytiscidae.
GUCCUUUUGUUUAUAAUUUAAGGUUUAACCUGCCCACUGAAUAAUAUUUUAAAUGGCCGCAGUAAUUUGACUGUGCAAAGGUAGCAUAAUCAUUAGUUUUUUAAUUAAAAGCUUGUAUGAAAGGUUGGACGAGGUAAAUUCUGUCUUUAUUUAAUUUAAAUUAGAAUUUAAUUUUUAAGUUAAAAAGCUUAAAUAUAUUUAAAAGACGAGAAGACCCUAUAGAUCUUAAUAUUAAUUAUAAUAAAUUUAAUUAAGAAUAAUUAAUUUUUUAUUAUAAAAAAUAUUUUAUUGGGGUAAUAAAAAGAUUAAAUAAAUUCUUUUUUUAUUUUUACAUAGAUAAAUGAAUAUUUGAUCCAAUUUUAUUGAUUAAAAGAUUAAGUUACCUUAGGGAUAACAGCGUAAUUUUUUUAGAGAGUUCAUAUCGAUAAAAAAGUUUGCGA